UAACAGGAUUAGAUACCNUGGUAGUNCACGCCGUAAACGAUGUCGACUUGGAGGUUGUGCCCUUGAGGCGUGGCUUCCGGAGCUAACGCGUUAAGUCGACCGCCUGGGGAGUACGGCCGCAAGGUUAAAACUCAAAUGAAUUGACGGGGGCCCGCACAAGCGGUGGAGCAUGUGGUUUAAUUCGAUGCAACGCGAAGAACCUUACCUGGUCUUGACAUCCACAGAACUUNGCAGAGAUGGNUUGGUGCCUUCGGGAACUGUGAGACAGGUGCUGCAUGGCUGUCGUCAGCUCGUGUUGUGAAAUGUUGGGUUAAGUCCCGCAACGAGCGCAACCCUUAUCCUUUGUUGCCAGCGGUUAGGCCGGGAACUCAAAGGAGACUGCCAGUGAUAAACUGGAGGAAGGUGGGGAUGACGUCAAGUCAUCAUGGCCCUUACGACCAGGGCUACACACGUGCUACAAUGGCGCAUACAAAGAGAAGCNAUCUCGCGAGAGCCAGCGGACCUCAUAAAGUGCGUCGUAGUCCGGAUUGGAGUCUGCAACUCGACUCCAUGAAGUCGGAAUCGCUAGUAAUCGUGAAUCAGAAUGUCACGGUGAAUACGUUCCCGGGCCUUGUACACACCGCCCGUCACACCAUGGGAGUGGGUUGCAAAAGAAGUAGGUAGCUUAACCUUCGGGAGGGCGCUUACCACUUUGUGAUUCAUGACUGGGGUGAAGUCG
Molecule: ribosomal RNA, 718 nt
Filed under: Enterobacteriaceae bacterium
Lineage: Bacteria; Pseudomonadati; Pseudomonadota; Gammaproteobacteria; Enterobacterales; Enterobacteriaceae
Description: bacterial SSU rRNA
Rfam family: Bacterial small subunit ribosomal RNA
Source: RNAcentral